This 520-nucleotide long non-coding RNA is filed under the name Gorilla gorilla gorilla (western lowland gorilla). RNAcentral's name for it is "lncRNA (ENSGGOG00000044316.1)". Lineage: Eukaryota; Metazoa; Chordata; Mammalia; Primates; Hominidae. The record is from RNAcentral.
GAUUUCCUUUUAUUAUAUUUAUUAUUUAUUAUACAUUAUCAUCUAUUUAUUAUUUAUAUAUUUUAUAAUCUAUUAUACUCCUUUAUAGCUUUCCCCUCUGGCAACAGUGCAAAUUCCACAAAAGCAGGGCUUCUGUGUCUGUUUUACUAAUAUUUCUUGAGCACCUAGAACUAUGCCUGCCAAAGGAGAGGCUCUGCUGAAUAUGGAAGGGUGCAAACAGUAGAACGAACCUGGACCACUGAACCCCUGAAUUAUCCAACCAUCUUACUUCUGGACUUCUUAUUUUGUGACUAAAAAAUUCCUUUUGAAAUGAGAGUUAUUUGUGAUUGAGAUCUGGUUUACUUAAGAGCCAAAAAACAAAAUUCUGGAAUAUCUCUUGAUUCAAUGACAAAAGUUACAAAAAGAGUUCUUUCUAAUUGCUAGGAUGUAUUUGCAUUUUGCCAUCAUUGGAAAUAUGCCCUUACCCAGAAUUCAUUCCAAAGUAAAGUCAGAGCAUAAGGAAAAUAGAAGUUCUCGGUGA